RNAcentral lists this unclassified non-coding RNA (223 nucleotides) under plant metagenome. RNAcentral describes it as "partial contains small subunit ribosomal RNA and internal transcribed spacer 1". The stretch from base 1 to 46 matches the Rfam family "Eukaryotic small subunit ribosomal RNA", at positions 1786 to 1831 of the family's 1831-position model. The record is from RNAcentral.
AAGUCGUAACAAGGUUUCCGUAGGUGAACCUGCGGAAGGAUCAUUAACGAGUCGGGGUCCAUCCGGGCCCGAACUCCCACCCUCUGUCGUCGCGAAUCACGUUGCCUCGGCGGGAAACCCUCCGCUCCGGAGGGGACGAGCCCCUGGGCCCGCCCGCCGCAGGUCCAUACAAACCUUGCUUUAACAACGAUGUCGGAGUGAUUUUAUUAAUAAUGAAUCAAAA